CAAAUCGAGUGUUGGUCCGGGC
This 22-nucleotide microRNA is filed under the name Ixodes ricinus (castor bean tick). RNAcentral describes it as "iri-miR-X6-3p". The record is from RNAcentral. Lineage: Eukaryota; Metazoa; Arthropoda; Arachnida; Ixodida; Ixodidae.